GGUUGCGAUCAUAUCAACACUAAUGCACCGGAUCCCAUCAGAACUCCGCAGUUAAGUGUGCUUGGGCGAGAGUAGUACUAGGAUGGGUGACCCCCUGGGAAGUCCUCGUGUUGCAACCC
This 119-nucleotide ribosomal RNA is filed under the name Helianthus annuus (common sunflower). Lineage: Eukaryota; Viridiplantae; Streptophyta; Magnoliopsida; Asterales; Asteraceae. The record is from RNAcentral.